ACCCGAGUGCUGUAAUUCGGUAGCCAGAUUUAACUUAAGAUUAAAUGACGCAAGUCGUGAACGUUCAAGUCGUUCCUCGGGUA
Ascosphaera acerosa is the source of this 83-nucleotide non-coding RNA. Lineage: Eukaryota; Fungi; Ascomycota; Eurotiomycetes; Onygenales; Ascosphaeraceae. The record is from the annotation of a GenBank genome assembly.